AUGACCGGGCAGGUCGGCGUGCCCAACCUCGCCCAGCUGGUGACGGUGAGACUCUCAAGGGAAAAUCACCUCCUCUGGAAGGCCCAGAUUGUUCCCAUCCUGCGGGGGCAUCAGCUUCUCGGCUUCGUCAAUGGCGAGAGCACCCCCCCGGCGCGCCUCAUUCCCGCCUCCACCGCUGAAGGGGCGGAGAUGGUGAUCAACCCAGCCCAUACGGUCUGGCACGCCCAGGACCAGCUGCUCCUUGCCGGGAUCCUCUCCACACUCUCGCCCGACAUCAUUGCGCGCACGCUGAACUUCACGACAUCGGCGCAGAUAUGGGCGGCACUCGAGCGCAUGUACGCCUCGCAGUCUCGCUCCAGGAUCAUGCAGCUUAAGAGGCAGCUUACGCACGCCCAGAAAAAGGACAUGAACAUGGCUGAUUAUUUUGGCCAUGUCAAGGGUCUCACUGACCAGCUUGCUGCGGCCGGCAGCCCGAGACUGAUGUGA
RNAcentral lists this ribosomal RNA (486 nucleotides) under Triticum aestivum (bread wheat). Its description in RNAcentral is "partial small subunit ribosomal RNA". Lineage: Eukaryota; Viridiplantae; Streptophyta; Magnoliopsida; Poales; Poaceae. The record is from RNAcentral.